This 497-nucleotide ribosomal RNA is filed under the name uncultured bacterium. Its description in RNAcentral is "partial 16S ribosomal RNA". It matches the Rfam family "Bacterial small subunit ribosomal RNA", at positions 28 to 507 of the family's 1533-position model. The record is from RNAcentral.
GACGAACGCUGGCGGCGUGCCUAAUACAUGCAGGUAGAACGCUGAAGAGAGGAGCUUGCUCUUCUUGGAUGAGUUGCGAACGGGUGAGUAACGCGUAGGUAACCUGCCUUGUAGCGGGGGAUAACUAUUGGAAACGAUAGCUAAUACCGCAUAACAAUGGAUGACACAUGUCAUUUAUUUGAAAGGGGCAAUUGCUCCACUACAAGAUGGACCUGCGUUGUAUUAGCUAGUAGGUGAGGUAAUGGCUCACCUAGGCGACGAUACAUAGCCGACCUGAGAGGGUGAUCGGCCACACUGGGACUGAGACACGGCCCAGACUCCUACGGGAGGCAGCAGUAGGGAAUCUUCGGCAAUGGGGGCAACCCUGACCGAGCAACGCCGCGUGAGUGAAGAAGGUUGUCGGAUCGUAAAGCUCUGUUGUAAGUCAAGAACGGGUGUGAGAGUGGAAAGUUCACACUGUGACGGUAGCUGACCAGAAAGGGACGGCUAACUACGUG